UCUCAAGUGUGAGGUAAGAGCAUUUGGUGGAUGCCUUGGCAUGCACAGGCGAUGAAAGACGUGGCACACUGCGAUAAGCCAUGGCGAGACGUGAGCAGUCUUUGACCCAUGGAUUUCUGAAUGGGGAAACCCAGCUUCUCCAAUAAAUCAUAACGGGCGGUCCGGUUUCGGCCGGUUUGUCCGCUACGGUUUAUUGGGGCGGUUAUCUUCAAGAUGAAUACAUAGUUUUGGAGAAGCAAACCCGGAGAACUGAAACAUCUCAGUACCCGGAGGAAAGGACAUCAACCGAGACUCCCGUAGUAGUGGCGAGCGAACCGGGACCAGGCCAGUGCUGGCAAGUGCGUUAGCGGAAGCCUUUGGAAAGAGGCGCCGUAGUGGGUGACAGCCCCGUACGCGAAAACAAUCUUGUCAGUCUUGAGUAGGGCGGGGCACGUGAAACCCUGUCUGAACGUGGGGGGACCACCCUCCAAGCCUAAGUACUCGUGCAUGACCGAUAGUGAACUAG
RNAcentral lists this ribosomal RNA (505 nucleotides) under Pacificimonas flava. RNAcentral describes it as "partial 23S ribosomal RNA". It matches the Rfam family "Bacterial large subunit ribosomal RNA", at positions 1 to 498 of the family's 2925-position model. Lineage: Bacteria; Pseudomonadati; Pseudomonadota; Alphaproteobacteria; Sphingomonadales; Sphingosinicellaceae. The record is from RNAcentral.